AGAGUUUGAUCAUGGCUCAGGACGAACGCUGGCGGCGUGCCUAACACAUGCAAGUCGAGCGAGGAAUGUCGGAUAGCUUGCUAUUUGAUAUUUCUAGCGGCGGACGGGUGAGUAACGCGUGAGUAACCUGCCUUUAUCAGGGGGAUAACGCAUCGAAAGAUGUGCUAAUACCGCGUAAGACCACAGCCUCACAUGGGGCAGGGGUCAAAGGAGCAAUCCGGAUAAAGAUGGGCUCGCGUCCGAUUAGCUAGUUGGUGAGAUAACAGCCCACCAAGGCGACGAUCGGUAGCCGACCUGAGGAGGUGAUCGGCCANAUUGGAACUGAGAGACGGUCCAGACUCCUACGGGAGCA
Molecule: ribosomal RNA, 352 nt
Filed under: uncultured bacterium
Lineage: Bacteria
Description: bacterial SSU rRNA
Rfam family: Bacterial small subunit ribosomal RNA
Source: RNAcentral